Molecule: ribosomal RNA, 455 nt
Filed under: uncultured bacterium
Lineage: Bacteria
Description: bacterial SSU rRNA
Rfam family: Bacterial small subunit ribosomal RNA
Source: RNAcentral
AGCGAACGUUUGCGGCGGGCCUAACACAUGCAAGUCGAACGCACUAGCAAUAGUGAGUGGCGCACGGGUGCGUAACACGUGGGUAAUCAACCCUUCAGCCUGGGAUAACGACUCGAAAGGGUCGCUAAUACCGGAUACGGCGCGAGAGGCUUCGGCUUCUCACGAGAAAGCCACGCAAGGGGCACUGAAGGACGAGCCUGCGGCCCAUCAGCUAGUUGGUGAGGUAAGAGCUCACCAAGGCUAAGACGGGUAGCUGGUCUGAGAGGAUGAUCAGCCACACUGGAACUGAGACACGGUCCAGACUCCUACGGGAGGCAGCAGUGGGGAAUAUUGCGCAAUGGGCGAAAGCCUGACGCAGCCACGCCGCGUGAGCGAUGAAGGCCUCGGGUCGUAAGCUCUGUGGGAGGAGACGAAGAAAGACCUGUGAAGAGCAGGCCUUGACGGUAGUCUCCUUA